GGAGGCGUGGCAGAGCGGUUGAAUGCACUGGUCUUGAAAACCAGCAAGGGUUUACGCCCUUCAGAGGUUCGAAUCCUCUCGCCUCCG
This 87-nucleotide transfer RNA is filed under the name Fidelibacterota bacterium. RNAcentral describes it as "tRNA-Ser". It matches the Rfam family "tRNA". From Rfam's summary of the family: Transfer RNA (tRNA) molecules are approximately 80 nucleotides in length. Their secondary structure includes four short double-helical elements and three loops (D, anti-codon, and T loops). Further hydrogen bonds mediate the characteristic L-shaped molecular structure. tRNAs have two regions of fundamental functional importance: the anti-codon, which is responsible for specific mRNA codon recognition, and the 3' end, to which the tRNAs corresponding amino acid is attached (by aminoacyl-tRNA synthetases). tRNAs cope with the degeneracy of the genetic code in two manners: having more than one tRNA (with a specific anti-codon) for a particular amino acid; and 'wobble' base-pairing, i.e. permitting non-standard base-pairing at the 3rd anti-codon position. The record is from RNAcentral. RNAcentral also lists the same sequence under 1 other name. Lineage: Bacteria; Pseudomonadati; Fidelibacterota.